CCCUUGGUCUUUUGUAAAUCAAAUCGCAGUAAAUCAGGAAAUAUCUAAAUUUGACACCUCCAAGUACAGCAAAAAUGGACUAACAUUAUGAACAAAAUAAUUGCAUGGAAGAAGAACAAAUACCUAAAACUGUGGAUCCUGAUUAGUAGCAAAAGCUUUAAUUUACACUUUGAAAUUCCAAAUAAACAGCCGGAUUGACGAACCAGAAAUCCUCAACAUCGACCUCGUCGAAAAGAAACUCGCACCUCAUCGAACUCGAUCGAAGCUUGGCCGAAGCAUAAGGAUUGUGUUUGGACUAAUUUUCCGAAGCUAUUUUUGAAUUGUUCAGCAGCUAUUUUUCCUUUCCUUUGCUAAAGUUGUAAAAGAAUAUUUUUGAAUACUUCUAUCUUCAAUUUUAUUUAGAAGCUCAAACUUAUGUUUGAGGAACGAGAAAACAGAUCCAGUUUUGUCACUUGUUUCGUGGAGGAAGGUGGGGAUCGGCUCCUAGGGGUAGAGAUGGGGUGGGGUCGCGGAUGGAGGGUGAGGGACGAAGGAGGGUGGUCAGCGGAUUUGGGGUCACCUAGGGUUCAACUAGGGUGUUGGUUCCCUUUAGGAAGAUGAAAAUGCGAAGAGAAAGUGCGUUCCUUUGCACUGUAGCGGCUCUUUCCUCUAUUCUCC
This 657-nucleotide long non-coding RNA is filed under the name Nicotiana benthamiana. Its description in RNAcentral is "long non-coding RNA (NBEN_LNC013841)". Lineage: Eukaryota; Viridiplantae; Streptophyta; Magnoliopsida; Solanales; Solanaceae. The record is from RNAcentral.